GGCAACUAAUACCGUAUACGCCCUACGGGGGAAAGAUUUAUUGCUAUUAGAUGAGCCUAUAUUAGAUUAGCUAGUUGGUAAGGUAAUGGCUUACCAAGGCAAUGAUCUAUAGCUGAUCUGAGAGGAUGAUCAGCCACACUGGAACUGAGAUACGGUCCAGACUCCUACGGGAGGCAGCAGUGGGGAAUAUUGGACAAUGGGCGAAAGCCUGAUCCAGCCAUGCCGCAUGAGUGAAGAAGGCCUUUGGGUUGUAAAGCUCUUUCGGUGAGGAAGAUAAUGACGGUACUCACAGAAGAAGUCCUGGCUAACUCCGUGCCAGCAGCCGCGGUAAUACGGAGAGGGCUAGCGUUAUUCGGAAUUAUUGGGCGUAAAGAGCGCGUAGGCUGGUUAGUAAG
Molecule: ribosomal RNA, 395 nt
Filed under: Wolbachia endosymbiont of Pseudolynchia sp. ES-2018
Lineage: Bacteria; Pseudomonadati; Pseudomonadota; Alphaproteobacteria; Rickettsiales; Anaplasmataceae
Description: bacterial SSU rRNA
Rfam family: Bacterial small subunit ribosomal RNA
Source: RNAcentral